UGAGCAUUUAAACAAUUUGAACUUGGAUGUCGAUGGAUCUAUGUCAACCUCUAUAGGUAGAAACUUUAUUUUUGAAAAUGCAUAUGAAGAUGUCAUUAGUCAGAUGAAGGAUUUAUCUGUUGAAGCUGGUGGGAAGGGCACUUCCAAGAAAAAACUCAUUAGUCAACGCAACCUUUUCUAUGAUAUCAUGGAAUGCAUUGAGUGGAUGAUACUGUUGGUCUUGAAGGUACUAAAAAGGUAGCUGUUCUUGUUGAAUAUGUCUCACCUUCUUCCAAUGCUCAGCCUGCAACUACAUAAGAUAGUGCCUUUGUUCCUACUUCACUUCACAUGUAUUCUACAAGAAAAGAGAUUCAUACUUCUAUACCGCAUGGGCAUUUUUACUCCAUUUGUACUCAUAAUUGUUCUAAGAGCACUCCACAAGAACAUUUUUUGUGCAGGUGACUGCAACAUACCCAUUAAUGCAACUCUCGUCUACGACAAUCUUUUCAUUGGAAUUUACAAGUGAAGAUCCAAAAAGAUGGAGAGAUUUUAUGGCAUUGGGGAAGAUGAGAAGGCCA
Molecule: long non-coding RNA, 557 nt
Organism: Magnolia sinica
Lineage: Eukaryota; Viridiplantae; Streptophyta; Magnoliopsida; Magnoliales; Magnoliaceae
Exons: 3
Source: RefSeq, a predicted model, not a curated record